This 391-nucleotide ribosomal RNA is filed under the name uncultured bacterium. RNAcentral describes it as "bacterial SSU rRNA". It matches the Rfam family "Bacterial small subunit ribosomal RNA", at positions 30 to 420 of the family's 1533-position model. The record is from RNAcentral.
AUUGAACGCUGGCGGCAUGCCUUACACAUGCAAGUCGAACGGCAGCACGGGAGCAAUCCUGGUGGCGAGUGGCGAACGGGUGAGUAAUAUAUCGGAACGUGCCCAGUCGUGGGGAUAACGUAGCGAAAGCUACGCUAAUACCGCAUACGAUCUAUGGAUGAAAGCGGGGGAUCGCAAGACCUCGCGCGAUUGGAGCGGCCGAUAUCAGAUUAGGUAGUUGGUGAGGUAAAGGCUCACCAAGCCGACGAUCUGUAGCUGGUCUGAGAGGACGACCAGCCACACUGGGACUGAGACACGGCCCAGACUCCUACGGGAGGCAGCAGUGGGGAAUUUUUGGGACAAUGGGCGCAAGCCUGAUCCAGCAAUGCCGCGUGCAGGAUGAAGGCCUCGG